Long non-coding RNA from Capsicum annuum, 690 nucleotides. RefSeq lists it as uncharacterized. Lineage: Eukaryota; Viridiplantae; Streptophyta; Magnoliopsida; Solanales; Solanaceae. The transcript is spliced from 5 exons. The record is from RefSeq and is a predicted model, not a curated record.
UUUACUUCCCAAAUUCAUUUCUUUCAUUUUCAUUUUCUCUUUGCUUUUUGCUUUUCCAAUUAAUUUCUUACACAUCUUCACAACAAAAAUCAUGCUUCAAAGAAAAUCUGUUCUUAGCUGCUAAAAAAUAUAUUAAAAUUUCUGCAUAUAUAAUUGUAGUAAGAUUGUUCUGAUCACGUUCUGCAUAGACUGUAUCUUUUGUUUCUGAUUUUGUUCUACUAUCCAUCAAGGGCGAGGAUCUUUUUUGAAGCAAAUGAAAGUACUCAUGACUGUGUUGCUUGUGUAGUAUGCUCAAGAUUUUGAACAUUUCAAAACUUUGAGAAAGGGAAGGACGCUUACGGACUAGCUACAUUUGAAUUCUUCGAUCGAGAAAGUGUUCUAGGCUCAGACAUGACCUCACCUCUAGAGUUUGAUAGAAGAUCUUGAUCCAAGGGUGUGCACUCCAUCUCCAGGCUGCCAUGGGUCAUCUUAUUUGUUCUUGUCCAUCUUUCGGGCAAUGAAACAUUCUUUAUUUACUUUAUUUUUGGGUAUCACUUUAGAUAUGAUCUUUGUUAGUAGUUCUUGUACGAUGACUUUCGGGUCUUGGAAAUUUUAGUAAGUAGUUUGUUUGACUUCCGCAUUAAUAAUAAUUAGUCAUGAAUUAUUGUUAUUAUGUUGAAUUUAUAUUAAUAUUACCUUAAUAUUGACUAA